GAACGCCCGGGCUUCGGCCUGGUUAUUCAUAACCCUUUGUUGUCCGACUCUGUUGCCUCCGGGGCGACCCUGCCUUCGGGCGGGGGCUCCGGGUGGACACUUCAAACUCUUGCGUAACUUUGCAGUCUGAGUAAACUUAAUUAAUAAAUUAAAACUUUUAACAACGGAUCUCUUGGUUCUGGCAUCGAUGAAGAACGCAGCGAAAUGCGAUAAGUAAUGUGAAUUGCAGAAUUCAGUGAAUCAUCGAAUCUUUGAACGCACAUUGCGCCCCCUGGUAUUCCGGGGGGCAUGCCUGUUCGAGCGUCAUUUCACCACUCAAGCCUCGCUUGGUAUUGGGCAACGCGGUCCGCCGCGUGCCUCAAAUCGUCCGGCUGGGUCUUCUGUCCCCUAAGCGUUGUGGAAACUAUUCGCUAAAGGGUGUUCGGGAGGCUACGCCGUAAAACAACCCCAUUUCUAAGGUUGACCUCGGAUCAGGUAGGGAUACCCGCUGAACUUAAGCAUAU
RNAcentral lists this ribosomal RNA (503 nucleotides) under uncultured fungus. RNAcentral describes it as "eukaryotic LSU rRNA". The stretch from base 153 to 306 matches the Rfam family "5.8S ribosomal RNA". Lineage: Eukaryota; Fungi. The record is from RNAcentral.